UAACGGCGAGUGAAGCGGCAACAGCUCAAAUUUGAAAUCUGGUCCCUAGGGCCCGAGUUGUAAUUUGUAGAGGAUGCUUUUGGUGAGGUGCCGCCCGAGUUCCCUGGAACGGGACGCCACAGAGGGUGAGAGCCCCGUCUGGCUGGCCGCCGAGCCUCUGUAAAGCUCCUUCGACGAGUCGAGUAGUUUGGGAAUGCUGCUCAAAAUGGGAGGUAUAUGUCUUCUAAAGCUAAAUAUUGGCCAGAGACCGAUAGCGCACAAGUAGAGUGAUCGAAAGAUGAAAAGCACCUUGAAAAGAGGGUUAAAUAGUACGUGAAAUUGUUGAAAGGGAAGCGCUUGUGACCAGACUUGGGCGCGGCGGAUCAUCCGGGGUUCUCUCCGGUGCACUUCGCCGCGUCUAGGCCAGCAUCAGUUCGUCGCGGGGGAAAAAGGCUUCGGGAACGUGGCUCCUCCGGGAGUGUUAUAGCCCGUUGCAUAAUACCCUGCGGUGGACUGAGGACCGCGCAUCUGCAAGGAUGCUGGCGUAAUGGUCACCAGCGACCCGUCUUGAAACACGGACCAAGGAGUCGUCUUCGUAUGCGAGUGUUCGGGUGUCAAACCCCUACGCGUAAUGAAAGUGAACGCAGGUGAGAGCUUCGGCGCAUCAUCGACCGAUCCUGAUGUUCUCGGAUGGAUUUGAGUAAGAGCAUACGGGGCCGGACCCGAAAGAAGGUGAACUAUGCCUGUAUAGGGUGAAGCCAGAGGAAACUCUGGUGGAGGCUCGCAGCGGUUCUGACGUGCAAAUCGAUCGUCAAAUAUGGGCAUGGGGGCGAAAGACUAAUCGAACCUUCUAGUAGCUGGUUUCCGCCGAAGUUUCCCUCAGGAUAGCAGUGUUGAGCUCAGUUUUAUGAGGUAAAGCGAAUGAUUAGGGACCCGGGGGCGCUAUAUUGCCUUCAUCCAUUCUCAAACUUUAAAUAUGUAAGAAGCCCUUGUUACUUAGUUGAACGUGGGCAUUCGAAUGUAUCAACACUAGUGGGCCAUUUUUGGUAAGCAGAACUGGCGAUGCGGGAUGAACCGAACGCGAGGUUAAGGUGCCAGAGUAGACGCUCAUCAGACACCACAAAAGGCGUUAGUACAUCUUGACAGCAGGACGGUGGCCAUGGAAGUCGGAAUCCGCUAAGGACUGUGUAACAACUCACCUGCCGAAUGUACUAGCCCUGAAAAUGGAUGGCGCUCAAGCGUCUCACCCAUACCUCGCCCUCGGGGUAGAAACGAUGCCCCGAGGAGUAGGCGGACGUGGAGGUCGUGACG
This 1290-nucleotide ribosomal RNA is filed under the name Trichoderma harzianum. Its description in RNAcentral is "partial large subunit ribosomal RNA". It matches the Rfam family "Eukaryotic large subunit ribosomal RNA", at positions 84 to 1405 of the family's 3401-position model. Lineage: Eukaryota; Fungi; Ascomycota; Sordariomycetes; Hypocreales; Hypocreaceae. The record is from RNAcentral.